Molecule: non-coding RNA, 148 nt
Filed under: Homo sapiens (human)
Lineage: Eukaryota; Metazoa; Chordata; Mammalia; Primates; Hominidae
Source: Rfam by way of RNAcentral
GCCAGGCAUGGUGGUGCAUUCCUGUAGUCUCUGCAACUCAGGAGGUUGAGGGAGGAGUAUCACUUGAGCCCAGGAGUUCCAGGCUGUAGUGAGCUAUGAUCGAGCCACUGCACUCCAGCCUGGGCAACACAGAGAGACCCUGUCUCUU